CAGUCGCACAGGAAGUCCUGACAGAUAGGGUGCGUGAUGCCUUUAGAUUGACACAACAUGUUCAUACCUGAUGUUUGCGGCAGAAGCUAACAACUUGAGAAGAACACAAUGAUAGUCUGGGAGAUGUUCCUUAUUCCAGUCUCCAUGGCAGUGACAGCCAUGUCGUCGACCUGUACACCCCAGAUCCUUGAUGAACCCCCAGACAAGAUCACGGUUCACCCUGGUUCCUCUCUGACUCUGAACUGCAGCGGUACAUGUCAGGGUCUUCCAGUACGGUUGAGCUGGCACUUCAGCAAUGUUUCAGAACGCGACGUAGGCAGAGGAGCCUUUACAUGCCUCAAUGAAUCCUCUGAGGAAAAGACGUGGUGCAAUUACACACUAAGAAAUUUCAAGGACAGUGGAUGGUACUAUUGUAAAGUCACAUUCGACCGGACUACAUUAUUGCAAGAAAAAAGCAGGAGAACGCGUGUUGAUGUUGCAGGGAACGAGAAGGAUGCUUUAGUGACGGCAAACCCAGUAAACAGAAACCCGGGUAUUAAAGAUGCGAUUCAGAGCAAGACGUUCCUCAUCGUCUCUGGAGUGUCCGCGCUCCUCCUCCUCAUGCUGGUGGUGAUGAUCUGUGUUAUUCAGAGAAGAAGGCGAAGGCACAAAGAGAUGACCUGCCCCAUUUAUGGUAACACCCGUCCACCACCGGGGGCCAGCAGGCAGCAAACCAGCAAACCAGACCCUCUGGUGGCCAGCGGAGUCCCCCCAAAGGCCUUAACACCCCUGAAAACAAAGUGUCGAGAUGUCUCUUAGCAAGACACCUCACCCUAACUACUUCCGACGAGUUGGCUGUCACCUUGUACGGUUGCAUGCCAUCGAUUUGAAUGUAUGAAUGAAAAAAAAGAAUAUAUAUGUAUAUAUAUUUAUUCUCUAACCUCGUGGACAUAGUGUAUUUAAUAGCUUAUAUGUUUUUAUAAAGGACCAAAUGUAUAGUGUUUAUUUAACAUUUAAUGUUUAUUUCGCAUUUACAAUAUCUAAUUAAUAUUUUUGGUGCAAUAUUUCUCCCUUACUCAAUUUGGCUGUAGUUGAAAUAGCUCUUGGAUAAUUCUUAUGUGGUGUUCGGAUUUCUUUUUUUUGCGCAUGUAUUUGGAUAAACCUUCAAACAGAGCUUAGGAAUGUAUCAUUUGCAUUGAUUUACUCUUUUGAGUUUCUCACUGUGUGCUAGAUAUAAUAAAUGUCAACUACUUUGGAAAAAAUGUGUAAAAGUCCAUUACAGACAUGAUCAGGUGAUAACUGAGAAAGUCUGUAGCCCUGAGCAGGUCUGUACCCCUGAAGGUCUACCCCUGAAAGUCUGUACCCCUGAGAAGUAGUAUGUGCCCCUGAGAAGGUCUUUACCGCUGAGGGUCUGACUGUAGCCCUGCGCAGGUCUGUAGGCCUACUACACAGUACCUUAGGGCUGGGUACCGAUACCAAUAGAGUGCUUCAUUCUAUACUUAAUUCUUUCUACUACAUUCGAUACCCAUUAGGUGAGGGAAGGAAUCAGUUGCUUUAAAGGACACGCGUGGCGUCUCGGCAACCUGAACAGCCAGCUCCGGCUGCCACUCCGCGCUCGACUUCGACGCCACAGAUUGUAUGGGUUGUAGCUGAUGCGGUUAUGGGCCAAUCACACUGCGCAAGAUAGAACAUCAGCUGGCGGUGAUUGGCUGCGAGAAAAAUCAUACAAAUACAAAUUUAAAAAGCAUUGAAUGCAUUUUGUCCAGCCUUCGCGGUAUCGUAAUUUGUGGUCUUUGAAACCGUGUAACGUUUUUAAGUUCUAAUGUCUAUCUUCGAUCCAAAGACUGAGACUAAUCCAAGUAAGAUGAUCAGAAUAAAUAUCGAGGAUAUCCCGUUCACUGAGGCAGUCAGGAAAUUACUGGCGGAGAACUUGCAGGAGCAGGCGGAAGAGAGGGCACAGAAGGAGGAGAAGGAACAGCAGGAAGAGAAGGAACAGCAGGAAAAUAAGGGACAGGAGGGGAAGAAAGGCACAGGAGGAGAAGUCCCGGCAGGAGAGGAAAAGGCUGAGGAGAAGAAGGAGCAGAGAAGGCAGCUGGAGAAGGCAAUGUGAACAAUGUGAUUUUAAAUGCCACCCUGGCCUACAUUAAAGUUGAACUUGAUGACA
Long non-coding RNA from Gadus morhua (Atlantic cod), 2143 nucleotides. RefSeq lists it as uncharacterized. The transcript has 5 exons. NCBI's taxonomy places the organism in Eukaryota, Metazoa, Chordata, Actinopteri, Gadiformes, Gadidae. The record is from RefSeq and is a predicted model, not a curated record.